This 247-nucleotide long non-coding RNA is filed under the name Lathyrus oleraceus (garden pea). RNAcentral's name for it is "Pisum sativum (pea) long non-coding RNA (PSAT_LNC029443)". The record is from RNAcentral. Lineage: Eukaryota; Viridiplantae; Streptophyta; Magnoliopsida; Fabales; Fabaceae.
AACUGCUAGAAGAAUUUGUAACACCUCAAAAUUUGCCCUCCUCUCUUGGGACUAGCUUAGCAUAUUGCAUUUCAUCUUUUAGGACAUUAGGCAUUACAUCUUUGCAUAUCAUGUGGAAGCAAUAAGUAAGUAAUCCUCCUAGGUCUUUCUCAGAAGAUGAAGAGGUUAAAAGAUUCAAGCUUGAGGGUCUCAUGAAUUGAUCACUAAUCAUCUGAGGGUUUGUGCUUCAAUUAGGGUUUCUUGGUUC